Molecule: unclassified non-coding RNA, 3444 nt
Filed under: Dimorphilus gyrociliatus
Lineage: Eukaryota; Metazoa; Annelida; Polychaeta; Dinophilidae
Description: exonuclease domain-containing protein
Source: RNAcentral
AAUUUCUAUAUCCGGUUAUUACAGGCACGUGCUCCUUCCCUAAAGAUGAUGAAACCAAAGACGAUCUCUCUUCAAAAACAUAAAAAUGAUCAAUUCAACAGAUGGCGUGACUGAUAGCAGUAAUUCUGUUGUUAGCUGUUAGAAUCAAGAGCGCAGGCUGUGUUUGUAUACUUUUAUGCUUGGGAAAAGAAAAUAGUUUGGACAUUCAAUGCUAAUCAAACGCUUUUCUGUGACUUUGCUCACUGCUUCAUUCAAGAUAUAGAUGUCAUGUCAAAAACUGAAAAGAAUCGAUUAAAACGCUUGACGAAACGAUUGGAAAGGAUCAGUCGCAAAUGCAAAACAAAGCCAAAAGCGCCUGUAAAACCUGAAAAGUACUGUUCGUGUGGACCGAAAGUUCGACUUGAAGAUUUAGUUAGUCUUGAUUGUGAAAUGGUAGGAGUCGGGCAAGAUCGUUCUUGCGCAAUAGCCAGAUGCAGUUUAGUAGAUUAUCAAUGCAGAACACUUUGUGAUAUCUACGUAAAACCUGAUAAACCGAUAACGGACUAUCGGACGUUUGUCAGUGGUAUUCGACCAUGUCAUAUGAAAAAUGCAAUUAGCUUAGAAGAAGCAGUUUCAAUUAUUUCAGAACUGGUCAAGGACAAAAUAGUGGUUGGUCAUUCACUUUAUAAUGAUUUAAGAUUAUUAAACGGUCUGCAAAAGUUAGAUACGAGAGAUACAAUUAAAUGUGAAAGAUUAAAACUAAAGGCUUUAGCUGUUAACUGUGAAAAGAAAGGCUUAGCAAGUCUGUCUUAUUGUUUAUUGAAAAAGAAAAUUCAAGUGGGAGAACAUUGUUCCGUUGAAGACGCAGUAGCGACGAUGCAACUGUUCAAGUAUGCUCAUUUUGAUAUUAGACCUGAAGGAAACGAUUGUUUAUCGAGUUUGUUGACAGAUAAUUAUUGGCCUAGUAAUAUUUUUGAAUGUUGCGAUAGAUAAGGGGCUGAUUUGUUUUUAUAAGUGUUGUUGUAUUCGGUUAUAAAAUACUCUUUAUAAAAAAAACACUAUCAAAUGUUAGGCAAUUCUGAAUAUGAAAAUUACUUAAAUAUUUUUUAUCACUACUGUCUCAAUUACUGAAAAGAUAAGAUUUUUUUUAAAUAAUUUCAAUACAUUCAAAAAAUUAGGUUGAGUUGAUAGAUUUGCUAGCAAAAGUAUUUUGUUCUUAUUACAAAUGGAAUCCUAUCUUUCGUUUGACAGCUUCUUUUUAAGAUGAGAAUGAUUUUUUUAAGGUUUGUUGAGUCAAGAUGUUUUUGGCAAAUGGAAAGAUUCUAUUUUUAAUUCUGUAUAACCUCAAAAACAGAAGAUAAAAAGUUUCUGAAUGUGUUUCAACGCCAUCUAUAGUACAGGCAACAAAUGCUCUGUUGACCCCGCGAAUGACAAAGCUAGAGGAGAUUCUGUAAUCAAAAGCAAACAAGACAAAGUCGAUCGACAAACCAAGUAAUUAUACAAAAUAAACAAACCACCGCGAAAUCGAUUAAACACUCCCCUGUUCGGUUUUUAGCAAGACAAACAACGGCAUGUGGCUUGAUACAACGCAGACCACUUGUCAGAGUUUGCAAGAAAUAAAAACCGAGCAACAUUCACCUAAGUCGAAAAUAAAAAUCCGCUUUUCUCUUAUCUCGAUGAUAAAAACGAUAAAAUUUGACCGAGAAAUCACGUGGUUAAAUUAUUAUAAUUAGGCAACAAAAACUUAUAGGAUAAUAGUAGUUAAUUGUACGAAUUGCAUGCAGACAAGCAGGCGUCACAAAGUCAUUAAAUGAGCACCAAGAAGAUACAACUCAUCAAUUGUUUAUGAUUUAGGAGGUAGAGGAGGCGCCCUAGCUUCUUCCACUCUCCUUAAGAGAACUUCUAACCAACAAGGGCACUGUGUGACAUCUAGUCUCUUGUAACCUGGUCCCCAACCUUUGGCGAACGAAAUCCUUAAGGCCCGAUGAUCCACAGGACCUGGGAUAGCUCUGGAACAAGGGCAUUGCUUUCGGGAUGUAAGAUCCGCGAGCGUUGAAAAGGCAUUUACGCAAUGUUUCGGUGCUAAUCUUCUCACAGAAAAUGGGUCGUUACAGGAAUGCACGAAAAUGGGGUGAUCAGAGAGAUUGUAGACCCAAAUUCCAUCAUCUUCCUUACUUAGGCAUACGCCGCGUCCAAUUUUUGCUCUAGUUCUGUCUAUACUCGCUUCGGCAUCCGUCGAAUGGAGAACCCCUAAGCAGAGGUGUUCGGCACCAGUCUCCGUUCUGGGUCCAUCUGAAACGUGGACGGUCGAUGAGGUUAUGUGAUAAGUUCUAUGAAUUGGUGUCCUUUCUUCCCAGUAUCGUACUCUAGCCCAUGUAGUUAAGUUAGGAUCGUCUGAAAGGAUAACAAAAAUUUUAGGUAUAAAAUAUUUAGAAAUAGUUUAUUUAUUGUAUAAAAAGCGACUGUAUGCCCGACGGCAGAAAGGGAGAAAAACUUAUCACAUCUUAAAUUUUUUCUAAAAAUUACUCCAAGCUAAAUAGAUCGAGUUUGGAUUUAAGAAGUUAAACGGCUUUAAUUACAGGUAGUAAAGUGCAAUACUAAGUGAGAAAUUCAGCUAGCAGUUAGAUGUAGAUUGUUAAAAAGUGUCAAACGUCACAGUUUUCAGGUGGGCGCCCGCGGGCUCACCGUUACAUUUGCGUGAGAAAAUGUCCAUGGAAUCUAUAUAGAAAUGCAUAAAAGAAGGGAAGUAAAGGAAACUUUCCCUUUAACUCUUUGCUUUCUAUUUCGGGACCGAUAUUAGAAUUCUCCAAAGUACGAAAAAUAAACAGACGUUUCAGCAUCGUGUAUAGACAAUAUAAACAAAAUUUGCGCAAUACGUAUCAAUUCCCUAUCAUCUGAUUGACGGCAUAAUGUUUUCUAACACUACAUUUUUCUCGUAACAAAGGAUGACCGAUCGUUGAGCUCAUAUGGAAAGUAUAUCAAAUUUAUCUGUCAUGUUGCAUUGAGGAGAGAAAUAACUGGACAGUAAGACCCUAAAAAUAGCAACGACUAUCUCAGUUUACAAAGAAUAUGAGACAGAGAGGUAUAUUACGCAAGAAUUCAUCACAUGUCAGGAAUAUUUAAUUAUAGUUAUCAGCUCAAAUUAUAAUACAAGAGAAAUUACAUUAUCUUAAAUGAGAUUUGGCAUUUGGGAUAUGGUGACUAAGGAAAUUACAUUUUAUAGCCCUAGUUCGUGUUCAAUUUUUAUAAAUUUUAGACUCUAUAAAUUUAUUAUUCAUUAUAGCCUAGCUGAAUUCUGCAGCGGCACAAUUAGUGUCACUUGUUAAAAAAUUAAAAGCCGAACUAGCGUUUUUAUAUUCAUGUCUCCAGCUGACAAGUAGAACGCUGCGAGUAAAAAACUUAUACAAUUACUGGCGACAGUUGGUGAAUAAAGGCAAUAUUUAAAAAAAUCUGAGUUAUCAAAAA